This 603-nucleotide ribosomal RNA is filed under the name Pseudomonas sp. MN34. RNAcentral's name for it is "bacterial SSU rRNA". It matches the Rfam family "Bacterial small subunit ribosomal RNA", at positions 868 to 1468 of the family's 1533-position model. The record is from RNAcentral. Lineage: Bacteria; Pseudomonadati; Pseudomonadota; Gammaproteobacteria; Pseudomonadales; Pseudomonadaceae.
ACUUCCUGGGGAGUACGGCCGCAAGGUUAAAACUCAAAUGAAUUGACGGGGGCCCGCACAAGCGGUGGAGCAUGUGGUUUAAUUUGAAGCAACGCGAAGAACCUUACCAGGCCUUGACAUGCAGAGAACUUUCCAGAGAUGGAUUGGUGCCUUCGGGAACUUUGACACAGGUGCUGCAUGGCUGUUGUCAGCUCGUGUCGUGAGAUGUUGGGUUAAGUCCCGUAACGAGCGCAACCCUUGUCCUUAGUUACCAGCACGUUAAGGUGGGCACUUUAAGGAGACUGCCGGUGACAAACCGGAGGAAGGUGGGGAUGACGUCAAGUCAUCAUGGCCCUUACGGCCUGGGCUACACACGUGCUACAAUGGUCGGUACAAAGGGUUGCCAAGCCGCGAGGUGGAGCUAAUCCCAUAAAACCGAUCGUAGUCCGGAUCGCAGUCUGCAACUCGACUGCGUGAAGUUGGAAUCGCUAGUAAUCGUGAAUCAGAAUGUCACGGUGAAUACGUUCCCGGGCCUUGUACACACCGCCCGUCACACCAUGGGAGUGGGUUGCUCCAGAAGUAGCUAGUCUAACCUUAGGGAGGACGGUACCCAUCCGAGGUGUC